Molecule: ribosomal RNA, 497 nt
Filed under: uncultured bacterium
Lineage: Bacteria
Description: partial 16S ribosomal RNA
Rfam family: Bacterial small subunit ribosomal RNA
Source: RNAcentral
GAUGAACGCUGGCGGCGUGCCUAAUACAUGCAAGUCGAGCGAACAGAUGAGGAGCUUGCUCCUCUGACGUUAGCGGCGGACGGGUGAGUAACACGUGGAUAACCUACCUAUAAGACUGGGAUAACUUCGGGAAACCGGAGCUAAUACCGGAUAAUAUAUUGAACCGCAUGGUUCAAUAGUGAAAGACGGCUUUUCUGUCACUUAUAGAUGGAUCCGCGCCGCAUUAGCUAGUUGGUAAGGUAACGGCUUACCAAGGCAACGAUGCGUAGCCGACCUGAGAGGGUGAUCGGCCACACUGGAACUGAGACACGGUCCAGACUCCUACGGGAGGCAGCAGUAGGGAAUCUUCCGCAAAGGGCGAAAGCCUGACGGAGCAACGCCGCGUGAGUGAUGAAGGUCUUCGGAUCGUAAAACUCUGUUAUUAGGGAAGAACAAAUGUGUAAGUAACUAUGCACGUCUUGACGGUACCUAAUCAGAAAGCCACGGCUAACUACGUG